RNAcentral lists this ribosomal RNA (497 nucleotides) under uncultured bacterium. RNAcentral's name for it is "partial 16S ribosomal RNA". It matches the Rfam family "Bacterial small subunit ribosomal RNA", at positions 28 to 507 of the family's 1533-position model. The record is from RNAcentral.
GACGAACGCUGGCGGCGUGCCUAAUACAUGCCAGUUGAGCGCUGAAGGUUGGUACUUGUGCCAACUGGAUGAGCAGCGAACGGGUGAGUAACGCGUGGGGAAUCUGCCUUUGAGCGGGGUACAACAUUUGGAAACGAAUGCUAAUACCGCAUAAAAACUUUAAACACAAGUUGUAAGUUUGAAAGAUGCAAUUGCAUCACUCAAAGAUGAUCCCGCGUUGUAUUAGCUAGUUGGUGAGGUAAAGGCUCACCAAGGCGAUGAUACAUAGCCGACCUGAGAGGGUGAUCGGCCGCAUUGGGACUGAGACCCGGCCCAAAGUCCUACGGGAGCCAGCAGUAGGGAAUCUUCGGCAAUGGACGAAAGUCUGACCGAGAAACGCCGCGUGAGUGAAGAAGGUUUUCGGAUCGUAAAACUCGGUUGGUAGAGAAGAACGUUGGUGAGAGUGGAAAGCUCAUCAAGUGACGGUAACUACCCAGAAAGGGACGGCUAACUACGUG